This 440-nucleotide ribosomal RNA is filed under the name uncultured Butyrivibrio sp. RNAcentral describes it as "bacterial SSU rRNA". It matches the Rfam family "Bacterial small subunit ribosomal RNA", at positions 355 to 794 of the family's 1533-position model. The record is from RNAcentral. Lineage: Bacteria; Bacillati; Bacillota; Clostridia; Lachnospirales; Lachnospiraceae.
UGGGGAAUAUUGGGGCAAUGGGGGCGCAAGCCUGACCCAGCAACGCCGCGUGAGGGAAGAAGUAUUUCGGUAUGUAAAGCUCUAUCAGCAGGGAAGAAAGACCUCGAAAGAGGGGAUGACGGUACCUGAGUAAGAAGCCCCGGCUAACUACGUGCCAGCAGCCGCGGUAAUACGUAGGGGGCGAGCGUUAUCCGGAUUUACUGGGUGUAAAGGGAGCGCAGACGGAAGAGCAAGUCUGAUGUGAAAACCCGGGGCUCAACCCGGGCCUGCAUUGGAAACUGUUUUUCUGGAGUACUGGAAGGGCAGGCGGAAUUCCUGGUGUAGCGGUGAAAUGCUUAGAUAUCAGGAGGAACACCGGUGGCGAAGGCGGCCUGCUGGACAGUAACUAACGUUGAGGCUCGAAAGCGUGGGGAGCAAACAGGAUUAGAUACCCUGGUAGU